This 579-nucleotide ribosomal RNA is filed under the name uncultured bacterium. Its description in RNAcentral is "bacterial SSU rRNA". It matches the Rfam family "Bacterial small subunit ribosomal RNA", at positions 338 to 917 of the family's 1533-position model. The record is from RNAcentral.
CCUACGGGAGGCAGCAGUAAGGAAUAUUGGUCAAUGGACGAAAGUCUGAACCAGCCAUGCCGCGUGAAGGAUUAAGGCCCUCUGGGUUGUAAACUUCUUUUAUCUGGGACGAAAAAAGGGUAUUCUUACUCACUUGACGGUACCAGAGGAAUAAGCACCGGCUAACUCCGUGCCAGCAGCCGCGGUAAUACGGAGGGUGCAAGCGUUAUCCGGAUUUACUGGGUUUAAAGGGUGCGUAGGUGGGCUUGUAAGUCAGUGGUGAAAUCUCCGGGCUUAACCCGGAAACUGCCAUUGAUACUAUAGGUCUUGAAUUAUCUGGAGGUAAGCGGAAUAUGUCAUGUAGCGGUGAAAUGCUUAGAUAUGACAUAGAACACCAAUUGCGAAGGCAGCUUACUACGGAUAUAUUGACACUGAGGUACGAAAGCGUGGGGAUCAAACAGGAUUAGAUACCCUGGUAGUCCACGCCCUAAACGAUGGAUACUCGACAUCAGCGAUACACUGUUGGUGUCUGAGCGAAAGCAUUAAGUAUCCCACCUGGGAAAUACGAUCGCAAGAUUGAAACUCAAAGGAAUUAGACGG